AGGCAGAAUUCUGUUAGGGAACAUGCUUUGGCUGUCAUUGGCUCAGACCUCAGAAAACAGGUAUGUUUGCCUUGGCCUUCCAUGAGAGGCUGUUAUCUGGCAGGACCAGCGGUGGCACGGUGGUAACACAACAUGAGAAAGGUACUGGAUUUGUGCCACAAUGCCUCCUUUUACAUGCCAGUGACACUUGCAAAGAUGUUAAAUGAAUGGACCACCAGAAGAAUCAAAGCUCUAGAGUUCUCUUUGGAUGCACUG
Molecule: long non-coding RNA, 255 nt
Organism: Tupaia belangeri chinensis (Chinese tree shrew)
Lineage: Eukaryota; Metazoa; Chordata; Mammalia; Scandentia; Tupaiidae
Exons: 3
Source: RefSeq, a predicted model, not a curated record